AGGUACUCCUGGCAAGUCUCUAUCUUUGGAGUUAAUUGGAAGUGUGGCUUUUCUUCGUGUGAUUUGUUCCUCAUGUGUCUUCAAUUGACGGCGCGGCAGCGGACUGAUACAUUUGGUAGCCUCCAUGCUCUUGGUGAUAACUACAAAUUCUCAACGCCCUUAACCCAAAGAAAUUGAUCAUAUUCACAGUUGCAAUUAAACCAGUACGAAAUUUAAUCUUGAUUAUAACAACAAAGAAGUGGGUUCUCU
This 249-nucleotide long non-coding RNA is filed under the name Brassica napus (rape). Its description in RNAcentral is "long non-coding RNA (BNAP_LNC010408)". The record is from RNAcentral. Lineage: Eukaryota; Viridiplantae; Streptophyta; Magnoliopsida; Brassicales; Brassicaceae.